GAUGAACGCUGGCGGCGUGCCUAACACAUGCAAGUCGAGCGAUCUUCUUCGGAAGAGAGCGGCGGACGGGUGAGUAACGCGUGGGUAACCUGCCUCAUACACAUGGAUAACAUACCGAAAGGUAUGCUAAUACAAGAUGAUAUAAGAGAUUCGCAUGGAUUUCUUAUCAAAGCUUUUGCGGUAUGAGAUGGACCCGCGUCUGAUUAGCUAGUUGGUAAGGUAAUGGCUUACCAAGGCGACGAUCAGUAGCCGACCUGAGAGGGUGAUCGGCCACAUUGGAACUGAGACACGGUCCAAACUCCUACGGGAGGCAGCAGUGGGGAAUAUUGCACUAUGGGCGAAAGCCUGAUGCAGCAACGCCGCGUGAGCGAUGAAGGCCUUCGGGUCGUAAAGCUCUGUCCUCAAGGAAGAUAAUGACGGUACUUGAGGAGGAAGCCCCGGCUAACUACGUGCCAGCAGCCGCCGUAA
Molecule: ribosomal RNA, 468 nt
Filed under: uncultured bacterium
Lineage: Bacteria
Description: partial 16S ribosomal RNA
Rfam family: Bacterial small subunit ribosomal RNA
Source: RNAcentral